ACAGAAUAAAAAAAGCCAGUACUAAGUUUGAUGUCUAAAUAAACAGAUGCCAUCCACCCAUAUUUCCCCUCUUUUGUACAGUUUUGUUGGUUUAUGAAAACAGGUUUACGGCUUAAACGACCAACAACACAAAAAUCAUUGAGUGUGGAUUCCAAACUUAAACGACCAACAACACAAAAAUCCUUGAAAGCUCAUAGAGUUUGUGAAAUAUAUUAGCCGAACACUUCUUCUCCAAUUCAAAUUGUUCAUACAAAUCAAAUUUACCGGUAUUGUAUACUAUAAAUCAGUUUCAGAAGCAUACAAACUCACUCACAUCACAUUUAAUUCCUCCUCCAAAUGACCUCAUGCAAUCACUUCCUGACGCACAACAUUUUUAAAAAGCUAACAUCAUUAUCACAGAUAUCAAUUCCAAAUGCAAACCUAAUGAACUACCAAUUUACAUUUUCUUAGAA
This 452-nucleotide long non-coding RNA is filed under the name Brassica napus (rape). RNAcentral describes it as "long non-coding RNA (BNAP_LNC022484)". Lineage: Eukaryota; Viridiplantae; Streptophyta; Magnoliopsida; Brassicales; Brassicaceae. The record is from RNAcentral.